UACAGAGACUGCAAGCGUUAUUCGGAUUCACUGGGCGUAAAGGGUGCGCAGGCGGCCGUGUGUGUCAGGUGUGAAAGCCCGGGGCUUAACCCCGGAAUUGCGCCUGAAACUACAUGGCUAGAGCAUUGGAGAGGGUAGCGGAAUUCACGGUGUAGCAGUGAAAUGCGUAGAUAUGUGGAGGAACACCGAUGGCGAAGGCAGCCCCCUGGGAUGUGACUGACGCUCAUGUACGAAAGCGUGGGGAGCAAACAGG
Molecule: ribosomal RNA, 253 nt
Filed under: uncultured bacterium
Lineage: Bacteria
Description: partial 16S ribosomal RNA
Rfam family: Bacterial small subunit ribosomal RNA
Source: RNAcentral